Molecule: ribosomal RNA, 492 nt
Filed under: uncultured bacterium
Lineage: Bacteria
Description: partial 16S ribosomal RNA
Rfam family: Bacterial small subunit ribosomal RNA
Source: RNAcentral
GAUGAACGCUAGCUACAGGCUUAACACAUGCAAGUCGAGGGGAAACGACAUCGAAAGCUUGCUUUUGAUGAGCGUCGACCGGCGCACGGGUGAGUAACGCGUAUCCAACCUGCCCAUCACUUGGGGAUAACCUUGCGAAAGUAAGACUAAUACCCAAUGAUAUCUCUAGAAGACAUCUGAAAGAGAUUAAAGAUUUAUCGGUGAUGGAUGGGGAUGCGUCUGAUUAGCUUGUUGGCGGGGUAACGGCCCACCAAGGCAACGAUCAGUAGGGGUUCUGAGAGGAAGGUCCCCCACAUUGGAACUGAGACACGGUCCAAACUCCUACGGGAGGCAGCAGUGAGGAAUAUUGGUCAAUGGGCGAGAGCCUGAACCAGCCAAGUAGCGUGCAGGAAGACGGCCCUAUGGGUUGUAAACUGCUUUUAUAAGGGAAUAAAGUGAGAGUCGUGACUCUUUUUGUAUGUACCUUAUGAAUAAGGACCGGCUAAUUCCGUG